AUGUCUGAUUUGUCCACCCUCACUUUCCUGUGGAUGCUUAUUACCCAUGAAAACAUCAGCCAAAGGCUAAGUUCAACAGGACUAGAAAUGAGAAAUCAGAAGUCCCCUCUGCUGUGGUGGUGUGCUGUGGGGAAGAGAUGGAUUUGUAAGUCCCCGGGCGAGGUCCUGCCUCCCCAAGGCCACUACUUUGCGGAGGAGACUCUGGGUGAAGCUAUCAUCAUUACGUUUGACCAGGAGGCAAAACCUUCUACUGGGGACUUGAGGGAUAAGGAAAGAGCAUACAUUAAACUCAGAGUCACUGGACAUGGUGCAGUGAGAUUCACUUUGAAGUGAGGAUGGUGGACGACACAUCUCUGGCAACUCAGAGAAUCAUAUUGUCAAAGACUGGAUGUUCCAGUGAAUUCACUCAGGUUUCUCUUCGAAGGUCAGAGGAUUGCUGAUAAUCACAGUCCUAGGGAGCUGGGAAUGGAGGAAGAUGUGAUUGAAGUUUAUCAGGAACAAACAGGGGGUCAUUCAACAGUUUAGAUAUUAUUUUUAUCUUUUCUUCUAUCCCCCUUAAUCCUCUUUUAGUUUUAAAAAUAGUUCUUUUGUCAUGUGGCGUUCAAGAUGGAAUUGAACACUGGCACCUCACCUCCUUAAGACAUCUGGUGAUGUGAAUUCUGGUGUCCAUUAGUCAUUAUCAUUUGUUUCCCUGGUGCUGAGUUUUGGUGAUGAAACCUCAGUGCCCUUCCUGUUGCCCUCUCCUUUUUACGAAUUACGCGUGUACACUGAGGGGCCACCUUUUCCAGGACUGUGGGUCUUCAGGCUUAUGGUAAAUAAGACUCACCAAUGCAGUGUUCAUAAUGCCUUUCCGAUUGGCCCUGAAGUUCUGGCAACUUCAGGAAGUUACUUCCCUCCUGGACUUGUGGCUUUUGGUGGGAAAUGGAAGUUUCUCAGAGAACCGAGCUGUGGAAAAAUGGCCUUUCCUUCACUUAAAGCUGCUUUGAAAAUCUGAGGGUUUGGCCCCAAAGAAGAGGAAUAUCGGGCUGGAGUCAAGGUGGCAUAGAGACAGUGAGAAUAGGGACUAACUCCAAAGAUGGCUUCACUGAAGAUAAAUCAUUUUAAGAUUAAAGAAAAAUCUUGUCAGAAGAUCCCCAAAACUUGUGAUUUUCCUAGGUAGUUAAUAAAGUUAUUCAUGCAGAAGUGUCUACAACAGAGCACUGCUCUUUUUUAUUUUAUUUGUACUUUUUGGCCUAGGCAUCUGGGUUUUAAAUGGACAUUGUCUAUACCAACUUCAUUAAAAUAAACAAAAUAUUUGUAAAAGCAAGCAAAUGAAUAAAAUUGAUAUUCCAAAAUGGUAAACUUGUUUGGCAAUAACCAACUAGAAAACAUAAUGGGGAAAGAGAUCCCAUUUGCAACAUGUCAUAGAGAUGUCUAUAAAAUUUCUUAGCAAAAUCUUUUCAAAAAUAUAUAGGAUUUAUAGGGGAGAAAAAAAUGCAAAUUCUGACCUAUAUCUCAGGAAAAUUGAGAUUUAAAGCUUACAUAUCGACAAAGAGUGGGAGUGAUGUUGUUUCCAAUGGGGAGAAAAUUGGUUCUUAUUGGAAAAAAAAAUCUAAAGCAAUAUCCUGUAUGUGGUAUUAAAAAUUCACUGGGAAGGAGGCAAUUAGGAUAAAAAUGUCUUAAAAGGCUCCAAGGGGAACAAUAAUGAAAGAAAUCUUGAGAAACACCGAUUUAAGGAAAACUGUAAUAGAAAUGUAUGUUUUUUCUUAUAUGGAAAACUGGAAAUUGUAAAAAUAGCGACUCUUAAAAUUACAGUUUUAAUGGAAUUCCAAUAAAAAUAUGAAUGGGCUCGG
Non-coding RNA from Leptonychotes weddellii (Weddell seal), 1832 nucleotides. Lineage: Eukaryota; Metazoa; Chordata; Mammalia; Carnivora; Phocidae. The record is from RefSeq and is a predicted model, not a curated record.